CUAAGCCCCAUUACAACCCAUUGAAAGACCCUUUGAUUCAUGCAUUAAUUUGCAUUUCGUUCGUGGUGGAGAUUUGAUUCACAAGCAAGCCUAUGGUAAUGGCAUUCUAUGUAUUGACUUGAGUGAAACCCGAAUUCUUAAACACCUUAUGUUAUGAGUGAUUACAAUGACAUCGUUGUGAGAACCCUUGUGAGAGUGUUGAGACUUGUUUCAUUUGGUUUUGAUGAAGUCAAUGGGAUACCUACUUGUUGAAUGUUGUGCUACAAGUGGUUGUUCUCAAAUUGCUAUCUCUUCUUUAACUAUUAAGUCAUAUUAGUGUAGGGGAUAUACUUGAGUGAUAUGAAAGGAAAUUUGAGAAUUGCUACUUGGAUAAUUCUUGUAUUUGGAUCAAGACAUGCUUGAGGGCAAGAAUGGUUUUUGUGUGUGGAAUCUGAUAACAUUUAUUUUAAUGCUCCUAUGCAUGCACUUUUUCGAGUGAUUGGGAAGGAUCUUAUUGCAUGGAUUGCCGAUGUUAAGUUACCCCAAUUUCAUGGGAAGGAGCGUAAGUUAUAGGGGGUCAAAUUCAGCUCUUGUGUUAUUGUGCUGGGUGUAAUUUAGUCUAAAGUUCACAGAUAGCAUGUCUUAUACUUAAUGUUGUCUAUCAUGUGCCUCUUUAUUUGUGUUACUAAUAAUUAUUUCACUAAUGGGAUCAAGAGAAGUCUUUAGGUAUCACAUACUACUUUACUCUUCUUCUUGUCCAUAUGGGUGUCAGGUUAUCAAUAUUUUUCUCAUCCAAAAUGCUGAGGGUGGAGUUAAUCUUAACUGCUUAAAUUCGCUCGCUGCCGAAAGAGUAAUUGUAAAAAUGUUGAAACUAUUGUGGUCGUCUUUAUCAAUGGAACUGGAAAUGUGCUUAUGUCAUAUGUUAAAGAAUGAUAUGUGAAAGCCGAUUGUGCUAUUUCUUAGAGUGCAUAUGUGAAAAUCUUUCAAUUGACAGCAUGGAGAGUUCAUGGCCUCUGCCAUCUGCGUUGGCUUCUGUAACUCAUAAACUGAACCUUGAAAAUUGAUUCAAAUCACCUUCAUGGCCGAGAGGUCGUUGGGUGCGCUGAGCAUGGACACACCCAGUUAUUUUUUGGGUUAAACAAAAAGCUUUCAGUUUGCCAUCAAUGCCUUUUGUAAGUACCAAUGUUUUUUGUUCCGAUUUUCAGUGUCUUCUUAUAAAGAUGAAGAUUUACAAUGUUGGAUACUUUUGAGUAUAUCAGGGUUGGAAAUUCACGAGAUUCCAUUAAAAGUCACCACCGCUUGAUUUUGGAAAGCUAUCAAUAUCUGAUGCUUCUCCGAUAAUAGUGCACGAACUGAAGAUUACGAACAUUCUUGUACGACAUGCGGAGGCAGUUAAUAGCAGACUUUUUGUGCCUAAUCCAUCUCAUGAUUUGAAAUCUAAAGAGAAAAAUGAAGAGGGAAGACGCAAAUUAAGACUGUGAAAAUGAAAGAUUGACAAAAAACUCUGAAUUAAUGGCAAAAGACGACAGAGCCAAUUCGGGUUCGGGAUCGAGACCAAUGUCCUCAUGUGGUCGUCUUUGGUUAAUGGUGGAACUGUGUGUGGCCUGGUGAGACGACAAUAGUUUCGUCGAAAAGCCUUCUCACAGAGGCCACCUCAAGUAAGGCAAGUGGGUUUGGCCCAUCAGCUUCUUGCCCAUCGUCGGAAGCCUAGCAGCCGCCAGUGUCUUAGCUACUGCUUCUGACUCCUACAGUGGCUUCUUCGAAGCAGCCGCUGCAAGAGAAUUGCGAAGGAUCCCAAGCGGGACAAACUGUUUGAGCACCGUUAUUGAGAAAUCAAGCGAAUAUAUGUGAAUAUCUUGAUAUGUUUAAAGCAAAUUCAGCUGCUGAGGAAUCCAGAGUUCGCUCUGAGAAACUGUUCUCCAGACCAGUUAGAAUUUCUCUCUGAAGCACCUCUAUAUUUGGAGAUUAAGCAAUCCCUGGGUUUUCUUGACCAUUUAAUGUUGGGAACCCCUGCUUCUCCUGUGAGAAAAAUCCUGCUGGAGAGUGGUCUGGGCGAUGUUCUUGUUGGUUGCGGGGGUUGAAGUGGGCUCCUCCAGCCUCAGUUUAGUAUUGGACUAUAAUUUUGUAACCUUACCCCUACUCUUGGAGUAUAAUUGUUGAAACUUCAGCCAGUCAUUGCUGGAGAUGGGUACUAAAGAUUUGGAUUUUGUACAACUGAACCAAUUAAGGAAAAGCUGGUGGGAUAUCACUAUAUUCUUUCACACCAUCAGUUCGAGGGAAGGAGGAGCCCUGCAGCCAUAUAAUUGUUCGAGGGUGAGGCAAAGCUAUGUCAGGACGUGUUGAAGAUUUAUUUACCCUGGUUAAGAGGCAAGUGGACAUAGCAUUGCACUGCAAGGAUGGAUGCAAAGCUCAGUGUUGCUUGUUGGAUCUCUGAACAAAUGUCAAGGAACUGAAGACGAAGAAGAUUCUUGUACGAGAUGUGGAGACAUCUACUAGCUCAUACCAUACAUUUGAUGUGUUGCGACCUUUUGUGGACUACGUUGUUGAGUUGCAGUUGCUAAGACCAACCUAAUCCAUCUGAUGACAACCUAAUCCAUGACAACCUAAUCCAUCUGAUGAUUUGAAAUCUAAAGAGAAAAAUGAAGAGAGAAGAUGCAACAUUAAAGCUGACAAAGAAUUGAAGCUUUUCGUGGAAAUGUAUUGGCACCAAAUGGUGGAUUCAAGGUUAGCAUUUUUUAUUUGUGGCAAGAUUUUGGCUAUUUUUUAUACUUAUCUUGAGUAGUAGUUCCUCAAUGAUUGUUAUGAUUACAAUGCAGCUCAUUUGAUUAGAUUAUAUACUUUAUUUUCUCGAUGUGUUGGUUGCUCUCAGAAUAGGGAACAAAGUUGAAUAACCAUGUACCAAUAAAAAACGUUAAAGUCAUUUUUUUAAGAGGAACGUUUGAGUUGCAUAGUUGUUAAGAUAGGUAAAUUGGA
This is a non-coding RNA of Sesamum indicum (sesame), 2952 nucleotides long. The record is from RefSeq and is a predicted model, not a curated record. NCBI's taxonomy places the organism in Eukaryota, Viridiplantae, Streptophyta, Magnoliopsida, Lamiales, Pedaliaceae.